UAUUGGAAUACGAUUAAGACAUGCGAGUCGAGAGACAUUUGGUCUCGGCGGACCGCUCAGUAACACGUGGAUAACAUGCCCUAAGGUGGGGGAUAAUCUCGGGAAACUGAGGGUAAUACCCCAUAGGUCUUCUAUGCUGGAAUGCUUGAAGGCCGAAAACUCCGGUGCCUUANGAUUGGUCUGCGGCCUAUCAGGCAGUAGUGGGUGUAACGGACCCACUANCCCGUGACGGGUAUGGGCCUUGAGAGAGGGAGCCCAGAGAUGGACUCUGAGACAUGAGUCCAGGCCCUACGGGGCGCAGCAGUCGCGAAAACUUCGCAAUGGGGGCAACCCCGACGAGGGAAUUCCAAGUGCCAGCACUUUGUGUUGGCUGUUCUCCUGUCUAAAAAACAGGAGGAGUAAGGGGCGGGUAAGACGGGUGCCANCCGCCGCGGUAAUACCCGCGCCCCGAGUGGUGG
This 458-nucleotide ribosomal RNA is filed under the name uncultured archaeon. Its description in RNAcentral is "bacterial SSU rRNA". It matches the Rfam family "Archaeal small subunit ribosomal RNA", at positions 31 to 494 of the family's 1478-position model. The record is from RNAcentral.